UGGGCUAUAGCCAAGCGGUUAAGGCACGGGACUUUGACUCCCGCAUCGACGGUUCGAAUCCGGCUAGCCCAGCCA
This 75-nucleotide transfer RNA is filed under the name Catonella morbi. RNAcentral's name for it is "tRNA-Gln(ttg)". It matches the Rfam family "tRNA". From Rfam's summary of the family: Transfer RNA (tRNA) molecules are approximately 80 nucleotides in length. Their secondary structure includes four short double-helical elements and three loops (D, anti-codon, and T loops). The record is from RNAcentral. RNAcentral also lists the same sequence under 4 other names. Lineage: Bacteria; Bacillati; Bacillota; Clostridia; Lachnospirales; Lachnospiraceae.